GAUGAACGCUGGCGGCGUGCCUAAUACAUGCAAGUCGAGCGAACAGACGAGGAGCUUGCUCCUCUGACGUUAGCGGCGGACGGGUGAGUAACACGUGGAUAACCUACCUAUAAGACUGGGAUAACUUCGGGAAACCGGAGCUAAUACCGGAUAAUAUAUUGAACCGCAUGGUUCAAUAGUGAAAGACGGUUUUGCUGUCACUUAUAGAUGGAUCCGCGCCGCAUUAGCUAGUUGGUAAGGUAACGGCUUACCAAGGCAACGAUGCGUAGCCGACCUGAGAGGGUGAUUGGCCACACUGGAACUGAGACACGGUCCAGACUCCUACGGGAGGCAGCAGUAGGGAAUCUUCCGCAAUGGGCGAAAGCCUGACGGAGCAACGCCGCGUGAGUGAUGAAGGUCUUCGGAUCGUAAAACUCUGUUAUUAGGGAAGAACAAAUGUGUAAGUAACUAUGCACGUCUUGACGGUACCUAAUCAGAAAGCAACGGCUAACUACGUG
RNAcentral lists this ribosomal RNA (497 nucleotides) under uncultured bacterium. Its description in RNAcentral is "partial 16S ribosomal RNA". It matches the Rfam family "Bacterial small subunit ribosomal RNA", at positions 28 to 507 of the family's 1533-position model. The record is from RNAcentral.